GAACGAACGCUGGCGGCAUGCCUAACACAUGCAAGUCGAACGAAGCCUUCGGGCUUAGUGGCGCACGGGUGCGUAACGCGUGGGAAUCUGCCCUUGGGUUCGGAAUAACAGUUAGAAAUGACUGCUAAUACCGGAUAAGCCCUACGGGGGAAAGAUUUAUCGCCAAAGGAGCGGCCCGCGUCAGAUUAGGUAGUUGGUGGGGUAAAGGCCUACCAAGCCUACGAUCUGUAGCUGGUCUGAGAGGAUGAUCAGCCACACUGGGACUGAGACACGGCCCAGACUCCUACGGGAGGCAGCAGUGGGGAAUCUUGGACAAUGGGCGCAAGCCUGAUCCAGCCAUGCCGCGUGGAUGAUGAAGGCCUUAGGGUUGUAAAAUCCUUUCAACGGGGACGAUAAUGACGGUACCCGUAGAAGAAGCCCCGGCUAACUUCGUG
This 434-nucleotide ribosomal RNA is filed under the name uncultured bacterium. RNAcentral describes it as "bacterial SSU rRNA". It matches the Rfam family "Bacterial small subunit ribosomal RNA", at positions 27 to 507 of the family's 1533-position model. The record is from RNAcentral.